GCAUUGUUGGGGUAGUGGUAACCUGGGUCGUUGCCAUAAGAAUUUGCCUAUUCGACCCGCCCCGGGUUCGAUUCCCGGACAAUGCA
Non-coding RNA from Lactarius psammicola, 86 nucleotides. The record is from the annotation of a GenBank genome assembly. NCBI's taxonomy places the organism in Eukaryota, Fungi, Basidiomycota, Agaricomycetes, Russulales, Russulaceae.